CUGGCCGUAAACGAUGGGUACUAGGUGUAGGAGGUAUCGACCCCUUCUGUGCCGGAGUUAACGCAAUAAGUACCCCGCCUGGGGAGUACGACCGCAAGGUUUAAACUCAAAGGAAUUGACGGGGGCCCGCACAAGCGGUGGAGUAUGUGGUUUAAUUCGACGCAACGCGAAGAACCUUACCAGGGCUUGACAUUGAGUGAAAGUUCUAGAGAUAGAACCCUCUCUUCGGAGACACGAAAACAGGUGG
Molecule: ribosomal RNA, 247 nt
Filed under: uncultured bacterium
Lineage: Bacteria
Description: partial 16S ribosomal RNA
Rfam family: Bacterial small subunit ribosomal RNA
Source: RNAcentral